Molecule: non-coding RNA, 426 nt
Organism: Pimephales promelas (fathead minnow)
Lineage: Eukaryota; Metazoa; Chordata; Actinopteri; Cypriniformes; Leuciscidae
Source: RefSeq, a predicted model, not a curated record
CUCCCGUAACUACCUCCCGGAAACCGGAUGAGAGCACCCGAACCGAAACGCUGUUUUCUUUGGAGAGCGUGCUGCUGUCCUCCGCAGCACCAGCUCGUUACUGUUCGUCAUUGUUUACGUGGACGCUGGAGGAGGGCCUGAGUACUGGGGGCAGAGGAUUCUUAUUUGGGUGACGGUAUCUUUUUCACCGUGUGCAGUGCUUGGAAUUAACAUCCCUGUGUGUGUGUGUGUGUGUGUGUGUGUGUGUGCGUGAGCACAGUGCAGUGGUUCUGCACCUGUCGGUGGUACGCUACGACUCCCUGCCUCUGUGUCUCUUGUCCUUGUCUAGACCUGCUGCUAAACCUCUAGGGGUUCAUUGAAUUUGGACAAAGUGUCCUAUAUCCUUUUUAUACUGCUCAUUUUUUAAGAAUUGUCAAUAAAACUGAU